GGUGCGGGCGCUAUCAUGCAGUCGAGCGGAAGAAGGGAGCUUGGUCCCGUACGUUUCGGCGGACGCGUGAGUAACACGUGUGCAACCUGCGCCUUUUACUGGGAUAACUCCCGGGAACCGGAGCUCAUACCGGAUAAUCUCUUUUUCCACCUGGGGAGAGGGGGAGAGAUGGGUUCUGCUAUAUCUAUGGGAUGGGGCCGCGGCGCAUUAUCUAUUUGGUGAGGUGACGGCUUUUACCGGCGACAAUGCGUAUCCGACCUGUGAGGGGGAGCGGCCACACUGGGACUGAGACACGGCCCACACACCUACAGGAGGGGGCACUAUGGAAUCUUCUCCACUGGGCAAAAGUCUGACAGAGAACCGCCCCGUGUGUGAGGAAAGCCUUCUGGUCUCAAAGCUCUGUUGUGAGGGAAAAGACGGUACUGUUCUCAUAUGGCGGUACCUUGUCAGGGCCUCUCCCCAGAGCCACGGCUAACUACAUGUCACCGCCCGCGGUAAUACAUAGGUGGGAAGCGUUGUCCCGAAUUAUUGUGCGUAUAGCGCGCGCACGCGGCUUCUUAUAUCUGAUAUGAAAUCUCGCGGCUCUCCCCCGAGAGGGCAUUGUAAACUGUGGAGCUUGAGUGCGCAAGAGAAGAGAGUAAAACUCCGUGUAUCGCUGAGAUGCGUAUAGAUGUGUAGGAGCACCACUGUCGAGAGCGACUCUCUGUGCUGUGAAUGAGACUGAGACGCGAAAACGUGUGGAGCACACACGAUAAUAUACCCUGUGAGUCCACACCCUAUACGAUAAGAGCUAUGUGUGAGGGGUGUCUAUGCGCGUAGUGCGCAAAUAACACAUUAAACACUCUGCCCGGGGAGAACACGCGCAAGGUGAGACUCACAAGAGUUGACAGGGACACCCACAAACACUGGAGCACGUGGGUUUAAUCUCAACAACACGCAAAAAC
RNAcentral lists this ribosomal RNA (944 nucleotides) under uncultured prokaryote. RNAcentral describes it as "bacterial SSU rRNA". It matches the Rfam family "Bacterial small subunit ribosomal RNA", at positions 39 to 970 of the family's 1533-position model. The record is from RNAcentral.